RNAcentral lists this ribosomal RNA (230 nucleotides) under uncultured bacterium. RNAcentral describes it as "partial 16S ribosomal RNA". It matches the Rfam family "Bacterial small subunit ribosomal RNA", at positions 28 to 222 of the family's 1533-position model. The record is from RNAcentral.
GAUGAACGCUGGCGGUGCGCCUAAUACAUGCAAGUCGUACGCAUUCCCGUUUUUGAUUGAAGGUGCUUACACCUGAUUGAUAAAACAUCGGAAUGAGUGGCGGACGGGUGAGUAACACGUGGGUAACCUGCCCAGAAGUGGGGGAUAACAUUUGGAAACAGAUGCUAAUACCGCAUAAUAGAUAGAACCACAUGGUCUAUUUGUAAGAAUGGCCGUUUCGUUGCUAUUCU